UUUGAAUUUUGCAUGCAUUCCUCAGACUGCAUUAAAAGAGUCCCUUCAAAAACAACAUGCCUAAAUCCAAUGUCGAGAAUAAACUAAAUGACUAAUUUCAAACAUAGUGCUUUUACAAUAUCAAAAUCUAGAAGUGUCUCAAAAUACCAAGUGGCUAUAACCAUCACCAAAGCCAUUAGCAUUAAAAUAACUAUUCCAACAUCUAAUUUAUUAUUCACUGGUUCAACUGCAUCCACAUUAACUUUAUAAAACAGCUAGUAAAGGAGAUCCAACUGAUGAUGAAAUAGAAACUUGAGUCUGAAAAUUUAUAACCUAGAUACUAUGGUCCACAAUGCCAUUCCUAAUGGUUUCAAAUAUGAAAGUAUUUUUCCCUCAAACCUAGCUAAUUUUGUUUCUAGCAUAGCAAAUACUAUAACAUGAUGAUAAAACAAAACUUAUUUCUUCACGUGGACAUACUAUAACAUGAUGAUAAAACAAAACUUGUUUCUUCACGUGAACUAUGAUUGAUCACAUUUUUAAGUCAAUGAAUAAAAUAAUAUUGUUAUCAUUUGAAACAAACACCUAAAGGAGGGAGGUUGAAAUCAGAUCUAUUUUGACCAAAUGCAAUCAUUGAAAAUGUGGUCAUUACCUUCCUCGCUUGAACCACAUCUAGCAGAAAAAAACUCCAAAUACUAGGGGUGGACAAAAACCAUCGAACCGCUCAGAAACCGAGCAACCCGCAUCAAACAAACUACAAAUGGGUGGUCGACUCGGUCCCACGGUGAGCGAGUGACCAGAACCAAUUUCAUGUAGAUUAAAAUGGACAGUUAUUGACUCAUAUUCAUGACCCAUCAGUAUUCGAACCCGCCUGAUUGAACAUGCAUAGUAAUAUCAGAUCUGUUAGUAGCCUAGUAUUGUUCUUUCAGUGCGCUAAGUUAUGCAUGGAAAAAUAAAAAUACAAAAAACCUACUGACGAUUUAGCAUGCUAGUAGUCUAAAUACAUUUAAAUUUUUCUUGUAA
RNAcentral lists this long non-coding RNA (999 nucleotides) under Cicer arietinum (chickpea). RNAcentral describes it as "long non-coding RNA (CARI_LNC002458)". The record is from RNAcentral. Lineage: Eukaryota; Viridiplantae; Streptophyta; Magnoliopsida; Fabales; Fabaceae.